UGGACCUGGACGUCAGGGGCCUGUGGU
This 27-nucleotide non-coding RNA is filed under the name Homo sapiens (human). Lineage: Eukaryota; Metazoa; Chordata; Mammalia; Primates; Hominidae. The record is from RNAcentral.